ACCCCACCAAAACACUUGAUAGAAAACUAAAUAUUGAGCAACACGAACCCCACCAAAACACUUGAUAAAAAACCAAAUAUUGAGCAACACAAACCCCACCAAAACACUUGAUAGAAAACUAAAUAUUGAGCAACACGAACUCCACCAAAACACUUGAUAGAAAACUAAAUAUUGAGCAACACGAACCCCACCAAAUUACUUGAUAGAAAACUAAAUAUUGAGCAACACGAACCCCACCAAAACACUUGAUAGAAAAAUAAAUAUUGAGCAACACGAACCCCACCAAAACACUUCAUAAAAAACUAAAUAUUGAGCAACACGAGCUCAACCAAAACACUUCAUAGAAAACUAAAUAUUGAGCAACACGAACUCCACCAAAAACCAGAGCGAACUUAGGUGUUAGGUGCUCAUAAAGGAUAGAAAACUAAAUACUGAGCAACACGAACUCCACCAAAAACCAGAGCGAACUUAUGUGUUAGGUGCACAUAAAGGAUAGAAAACUAAAUAUUGAGCAACACGAACCCCACCAUAAACCAGAGCGAACUUAGGUGUUAGGUGCUCAUAAAGGAUAGAAAACUAAAUAUUGAGCAACACGAACCCCGCCAUAAACCAGAGCGAACUUAGGUGUUAGGUGCUCAUUAAGGAUAGAAAACUAAAUAUUGAGCAAUACGAACCCCACCAAAAACCGGAGCGAACUUAGGUGUUAGGUGCUCAUAAAGGAUAGAAAACUAAAUAUUGAGCAAAACAAACCCCACCAAAAACCAGAGCGAACUUAGGUGUUAGGUGCUCAUACACGAACCCCACCAAAAACCAGAGCGAACUUAGGUGUUAGGUGCUCAUAAAGGAUAGAAAACUAAAUAUUGAGCAACACGAACCCCACCAUAAACCAGAGCGAACUUAGGUGUUAGGUGCUCAUAAAGGAUAGAAAACUAAAUAUUGAGCAACACGAACCCCACCAUAAACCAGAGCGAACUUAGGUGUUAGGUGCUCAUAAAGGAUAGAAAACUAAAUAUUGAGCAAUAUGAACCCCACCAAAAACCAGAGCGAACUUAGGUGUUAGGUGCUCAUAAAGGAUAGAAAACUAAAUAUUGAGCAAAACAAACCCCACCAAAAACCAGAGCGAACUUAGGUGUUAGGUGCUCAUAAAGGAUAGAAAACUAAAUAUUGAGCAAUACGAACCCCACCAAAAACCAGAGCGAACUUAGGUGUUAGGUGCUCAUAAAGGAUAGAAAACUAAAUAUUGAGCAAUACGAACCCCACCAAAAACCAGAGCGAACUUAGGUGUUAGGUGCUCAUAAAGGAUAGAAAACUAAAUAUUGAGCAACACGAACCCCACCAUAAACCAGAGCGAACUUAGGUGUUAGGUGCUAAUAAAGGAUAGAAAACUAAAUAUUGAGCAAUACGAACCCCACCAAAAACCGGAGCGAACUUAGGUGUUAGGUGCUCAUAAAGGAUAGAAAACUAAAUAUUGAGCAAAACAAACCCCACCAAAAACCAGAGCGAACUUAGGUGUUAGGUGCUCAUAAAGGAUAGAAAACUAAAUAUUGAGCAAUACGAACCCCACCAAAAACCAGAGCGAACUUAGGUGUUAGGUGCUCAUAAAGGAUAGAAAACUAAAUAUUGAGCAAUACGAACCCCACCAAAAACCAGAGCGAACUUAGGUGUUAGGUGCUCAUAAAGGAUAGAAAACUAAAUAUUGAGCAAUACGAACCCCACCAAAAACCAGAGCGAACUUAGGUGUUAGGUGCUCAUAAAGGAUAGAAAACUAAAUAUUGAGCAAUACGAACCCCACCAAAAACCAGAGCGAACUUAGGUGUUAGGUGCUCAUAAAGGAUAGAAAACUAAAUAUUGAGCAACACGAACCCCGCCAUAAACCAGAGCGAACUUAGGUGUUAGGUGCUCAUAAAGGAUAGAAAACUAAAUAUUGAGCAAUACGAACCCCACCAAAAACCAGAACGAACUUAGGUGUUAGGUGCUCAUAAAGGAUAGAAAACUAAAUAUUGAGCAACACGAACCCCACCAAAAACCAGAGCGACCUUGGG
This is a long non-coding RNA of Mytilus californianus (California mussel), 2042 nucleotides long. RefSeq lists it as uncharacterized. The record is from RefSeq and is a predicted model, not a curated record. Lineage: Eukaryota; Metazoa; Mollusca; Bivalvia; Mytilida; Mytilidae. The transcript is spliced from 6 exons.